UGAGGUGUAGCCCAGUGAUAGAGCUCAUGCUUAGCAUGCAUGAGGCUCUGGGUUCCAUCCCCAGCACUAAAA
RNAcentral lists this transfer RNA (72 nucleotides) under Heterocephalus glaber (naked mole-rat). It matches the Rfam family "tRNA". From Rfam's summary of the family: Transfer RNA (tRNA) molecules are approximately 80 nucleotides in length. Their secondary structure includes four short double-helical elements and three loops (D, anti-codon, and T loops). The record is from Rfam by way of RNAcentral. Lineage: Eukaryota; Metazoa; Chordata; Mammalia; Rodentia; Bathyergidae.